CUGGCGCUGGGAAGGGUAGGGAGAGAAGGAGAGCCAGCGAGGGAGGGAGGGAGUGGGAGGAGGAGGAGAGGGAGCCGAACGACCAUUUAAAGCGAUAGCAAUCCCUGCCCUCUCCCCAGUGCUGGGCUGUUGGAGAGAGCGAGCGGCAAGCCGGUGAGCGCGAGCGCGGCGCGCCGGCCGGCUAACCCGAGAGCGCGAGGCGCCCCAGGCUGGCAGGCACCGUGGGACCCCUCACCCACUCUGGUCGCCCCUCCCCGGACUCCCCCACCCUCCGUGCCUGCAGGAGCCCCUGGGCUUUCCCGGAGGAGCUCGCCCUGAGGGGCCCGGACCUCGGCGAGCCCACCACCGUCCCUUCCAGCGCUGCCGCCGCCACCGCAGCAGCCGGAGCAGCAUGGUCCAGCUGAGGAAGCUGCUCCGCGUCCUGACUUUGAUGAAGUUCCCCUGCUGCGUGCUGGAGGUGCUCCUGUGCGCGCUGGCGGCGGCGGCGCGCGGCCAGGAGAUGUACGCCCCGCACUCAAUCCGGAUCGAGGGGGACGUCACCCUCGGGGGGCUGUUCCCAGUGCACGCCAAGGGUCCCAGCGGAAUGCCCUGCGGUGACAUCAAGAGGGAGAACGGGAUCCACAGGCUGGAAGCGAUGCUUUACGCCCUGGACCAGAUCAACAGUGAUCCCAACCUACUGCCCAACGUGACGCUGGGCGCGCGGAUCCUGGACACUUGUUCCAGGGACACUUACGCGCUCGAACAGUCGCUCACUUUCGUCCAGGCGCUCAUCCAGAAGGACACCUCCGACGUGCGCUGCACCAACGGCGAACCCCCGGUUUUCGUCAAGCCGGAGAAAGUAGUUGGAGUGAUUGGGGCUUCGGGGAGUUCGGUCUCCAUCAUGGUAGCCAACAUCCUGAGGCUCUUCCAGAUCCCCCAAAUUAGUUAUGCAUCAACGGCACCUGAGCUAAGUGAUGACCGGCGCUACGACUUCUUCUCUCGCGUGGUGCCACCCGAUUCCUUCCAAGCCCAGGCCAUGGUAGACAUUGUAAAAGCCCUAGGCUGGAAUUAUGUGUCUACUCUUGCAUCUGAAGGAAGUUAUGGAGAGAAAGGUGUGGAGUCCUUCACGCAGAUUUCCAAAGAGGCAGGUGGACUCUGCAUUGCCCAGUCCGUGAGAAUCCCCCAGGAACGCAAAGACAGGACCAUUGACUUUGAUAGAAUUAUCAAGCAACUCCUGGACACCCCCAACUCCAGGGCCGUCGUGAUUUUUGCCAACGACGAGGAUAUAAAGCAGAUCCUUGCAGCAGCCAAAAGAGCUGACCAAGUUGGCCAUUUUCUUUGGGUGGGAUCAGACAGCUGGGGAUCCAAAAUAAACCCACUGCACCAGCAUGAAGAUAUCGCAGAAGGGGCCAUCACCAUUCAGCCCAAGCGAGCCACGGUGGAAGGGUUUGAUGCCUACUUUACAUCCCGUACACUUGAAAACAACAGAAGAAAUGUAUGGUUUGCUGAAUACUGGGAGGAAAACUUCAACUGCAAGUUGACGAUUAGUGGGUCAAAAAAAGAAGACACAGAUCGCAAAUGCACAGGACAGGAGAGAAUUGGAAAAGAUUCCAACUAUGAGCAGGAGGGUAAAGUCCAGUUUGUGAUUGACGCGGUCUAUGCUAUGGCUCAUGCCCUUCACCACAUGAACAAGGAUCUCUGUGCUGACUACCGGGGUGUCUGUCCAGAGAUGGAGCAAGCUGGAGGCAAGAAGUUGCUGAAGUAUAUCCGCAAUGUUAACUUCAAUGGUAGUGCUGGCACUCCAGUGAUGUUUAACAAGAACGGGGAUGCACCUGGCCGUUAUGACAUCUUUCAGUACCAGACCACAAACACCAGCAACCCGGGUUACCGUCUGAUCGGGCAGUGGACAGACGAACUUCAGCUCAAUAUAGAAGACAUGCAGUGGGGUAAAGGAGUCCGAGAGAUACCUCCCUCAGUGUGCACACUACCAUGUAAGCCUGGACAGAGAAAGAAGACACAGAAAGGAACUCCUUGCUGUUGGACCUGUGAGCCUUGCGAUGGUUACCAGUACCAGUUUGAUGAGAUGACAUGCCAGCAUUGUCCCUAUGACCAGAGGCCCAAUGAAAAUCGAACUGGAUGCCAAGAUAUUCCCAUCAUCAAACUGGAGUGGCACUCCCCCUGGGCUGUGAUUCCUGUCUUCCUGGCAAUGUUGGGGAUCAUUGCCACCAUCUUUGUUAUGGCCACUUUCAUCCGCUACAAUGACACGCCCAUUGUCCGGGCAUCUGGGCGGGAACUCAGCUAUGUUCUUUUGACGGGCAUCUUUCUUUGCUACAUCAUCACUUUCCUGAUGAUUGCCAAACCUGAUGUGGCAGUGUGUUCUUUCCGGCGUGUUUUCUUGGGCUUGGGUAUGUGCAUCAGUUAUGCAGCCCUCUUGACGAAAACAAAUCGGAUUUAUCGCAUAUUUGAGCAGGGCAAGAAAUCGGUAACAGCUCCCAGACUCAUAAGCCCAACAUCACAACUGGCAAUCACUUCCAGUUUAAUAUCAGUUCAGCUUCUAGGGGUUUUCAUUUGGUUUGGUGUUGAUCCACCCAACAUCAUCAUAGACUAUGAUGAACAUAAGACGAUGAACCCUGAGCAAGCCAGAGGAGUUCUCAAGUGUGACAUUACAGAUCUCCAAAUCAUUUGCUCCUUGGGAUAUAGCAUUCUUCUCAUGGUCACAUGUACUGUGUAUGCCAUCAAGACUCGGGGUGUACCAGAGAAUUUUAAUGAAGCCAAGCCCAUUGGAUUCACUAUGUACACGACAUGUAUAGUAUGGCUUGCCUUCAUUCCAAUUUUUUUUGGCACCGCUCAAUCAGCGGAAAAGCUCUACAUACAAACUACCACGCUUACAAUCUCCAUGAACCUAAGUGCGUCAGUGGCGCUGGGGAUGCUAUACAUGCCGAAAGUAUACAUCAUCAUUUUCCACCCUGAACUCAAUGUCCAGAAACGGAAGCGAAGCUUCAAGGCGGUAGUCACAGCAGCCACCAUGUCAUCGAGGCUGUCACACAAACCCAGUGACAGACCCAACGGUGAGGCAAAGACAGAGCUCUGUGAAAAUGUAGACCCAAACAACUGUAUACCACCAGUAAGAAAGAGUGUACAAAAGUCUGUUACUUGGUACACUAUCCCACCAACAGUAUAGCUUUUGACUGCUUUCCAAAAGUAACCUCUGAGGACCUCAGCUUGCACAAAGAGGAUUGAGAUAACAUUUCCAAAGCUUGUUCUUCCUGAGCUGACCCAACACUUAGAAAAACGUGACAUGGAUCAGCAACCCCAUUUUCUGUGAGAAAUGCAACUGCAAUUGACCAUCUGCACUGGCAUCUAGUCAAGUGAUUGUCUGAGGAAAGGAUUUUGGAGAUUCCCAUCUGAUAUUCUUCUAUUUGGUCUCUUGUACCCAUUGUCUUCCUGUACCACACACAUAAUAAAGUUUAAGAAUGUCAAGCAAUCCAUCUGCAUCUAAUUUUUGUUUGGAAUAACCUGCAGGAUUUUCUAAUACAUCUUGAAAUAUCAAUACAUCUCCAGUCUUGUCUUCAACCUAUUUAGUGUUGAUCAUUUUUGGAGCAAUGGUGCCUUAAAGUCAAAAUUUUGCUGUAUUGUCAAAUGAGCUAUCUGGGAAAUCACAUUUAAACACACUUAGUUUUCAUUUAAUUUCAUAACACAACACAUAUUUCCUAACUCUAGGCAUAAAUACAUUCAACAUUUUCACCAUCAUGGUUUAAAAAUUAGUACCUGUUAGUACUCAGAUAUUUAAGGAAAUGCCAAUGACCAAUUUUUAAAAAUCCUUUGUAUGGCAGAAAAUUUGCCAAAAGCAAACCUUCUGAAGUACAUUUCAGUUUAUACUUCAGUCUGAUUUAAAUCAUUUGUUCCCCUAACCUUGUGGGCAUCAAAAGGUCACCUGUAUUUAACAAACUUCUCAGUGAUUCUGAUGCACAUCCAGGUUUGGGAAACAGUUUUAUUUUUUAAAUUGUCCUUGAUAAGAAACACAUGCAAUAUGGUAUUGAUGUGAUGGUGAUCACUUACAGAGCAAAGUGUUUUUCAUGGUAUUAAAAUGAUUGAUUUUUGAAAAGUUAUUUGGGUUUAUUGCACAAGUGGGAUCUACCAUGUACCCAAGAAGUCACCCCUCUGUAGGCUAGUACUGUGAGAAGCUAUGUCAAGGUCCCCUCUCAAGAGACUCUCCAAUCUGGUGUUGCAGACUAAAUAAAACUAAAGUUAAUUGCUGAGCUCUGUUACUGGAGCACAAAAACAUAGCAUCACCUUUGUUUAAAGCUGAAUCACCAUGAUAACACUCAGUAAGGAGCUGGGUCAACAUUCCUUUUUUCUGCACUCAGUCGGCCACAAGGCCUGGCCUUUUGUAGGCAAAGUGUGUUGAUACGUCUUAUGCAAUCAUUUCAAGGCACUUAGCCAAGGAAGUCUACAUAUUUUUUUUUAGCCCUGAAGUCCUCAAAGAGAAUAUGAUUUUUAAAUCUUCAUUUAUGCUUUCUAUGCUUUUCUGCGCAAUCAGAUAGUGAAAAUGAUUAGGAUAGUCUUCAAUAACUAUUGCUGUUAAUAAAUCAACCAUGAUUUUAUGGAGAAGCAGUCUAGUGCCCAGGUUAAGACUGAAGAUGUUGGAGCCCAUAUACCUGGAUUCUAAAUCCAACUUUGUCAUUCUCCAGAUUGUGAUGUGGCCAUGUUGCCUACUCUGCGCAUCAGUUUUCUCAUCUGUAAAAUUGGUAUAACCUUAGUAACUACCACAUGGGGCAGUUAUUAGGAUUAAAUUAGUUAAUAUAUAUGACAUGAUGCUUAAAACAGUGAUUGGCAUGUAAUAGAAUGCUAAAUAAUUUGUUGUUACUCCUUAAUGACUAUCACCAACUGAAGUAUAGUUGUCAAUCCAUACAGUAGCCACUGGAUACUUGUGGCUACUUAAAUUAAUUAGAAUUAAAUAAUCUUGCACAAGUCACAUUUCAGGUUCUUAACAGGCACAUAUAGCUAGCAGCUCCCAUAUUGGACUACAAAGUUAGAGAACAUUUCCAUUAUCACAAAAAUUAAAUAGCACUGAGCCACAACUUAAGAGAAGGUAAAAAGAGGGAUAAGAAUGUCCUUUAUAAAAGAGUUCCUUUUGUUCUUAAUACUCUCCAUUGCUUAUAAGAAUUAUCUAUACAUCUCUCAAGAGUGUUUGGACCCAUUUCUUUUGUAGCUUCUAGUAAAAAGCCAUUUACGUUGUAGAGUGUACAGUAUAUACUGUGAGUUAACAAAAAUAGUUUAUCAGAAAUGAUGUUCUCUUAGUUGAGAAGGUUUCCCCAAUUCCUUUCACAAGCUAUUUAUAACGCUUUCUAUUCAUUCAUUCUAUAGUUGAAUCUAGUUCUUGAAAAGGAGGCAAGAUGGCAAGUUUGUUUGUGGUCAGUACAUAGAGAAUGACUACAGUAAGGCUUUGUAUGUAAGGGAGAAUGGUUUUCUUAGUCACGACCCGAAUGGAAGUAAUGUGCAUAUUCACUCAUCAUGCCAUGUUUCCUCAGUAACAGAAAAGCCAAAUUAAAUAUUCCAGGAUAUGAACAGAGGCUUCACCCAACCUUAAACAGAAUAUUUCCAAGCACUUUUCACUUGGAUUGGCCAACUUUGAGAUUCUGGUGUCAGCUGGAAAAUUCUCUUUUUCUAAAAAGUCAAAAUUGACGUGUCUUAUUUUUUUCUGUGCAUGGUUAGCCCUUGGCAACAUUGUCUGGCAGUUGCUUUGUAAAUGUUUCAGAAGGAAAAAACAAUACAGGCAAGGGACUGAAGAUGGCUAUUUUUCAGCUAUCAGAAGUUUUAUGUGAAUCAUGAGUAGUUAAUAAUAUUUUACAUUAGCUAGAGGAGUUUCUGCUAUCAGUUUAUAUGUUGGGAGAGCUUUUAUUUAAAACUAGCAUGGAAAGCUAGUAAGAAGAGCCAGUAAAAGAUAUUUAAUCCCAGUUCCAGGCCAGUUCUAUCAAUCAGGUUGAGUACAGCUAAAGGUAAACCUCCUUCAGUAUCUCAGGUGCUCACUCCAGACAGAACUCAAGCUGUUAAAUGGCCAGAUAAGGGAUUGAGAAAGAAAGAACCAUGUCGUUCUUUCCAUGAACUUGCAUACAAGCUAUACAUUUAAAUAAAUAUUGACUUCUCAAUCUCCUCAAUAAAACAGCAUCAAUGAAUUUGUGUCCAGAAGGACAAAAUAGGCAAAAAAGAAAACUAUACCUAAUUUUUAAAAAUUACAUCAUCAUCAAUUAACUAUUGUAUUCAACUUGCCCUUGUGUAACAUUUUGUAGUUUUGUUUUAUUAUGUGCUUGCAAAUUCAGCAUCUUAUUUUAUCUUCAGGGUAUCUCGCUGAGGUAGGUGUCAUUAUCCUCAUUCAUAGAAACGUAAAGUAAGGCUCAGAGAGGUGAAGAAAAUGAUCCAAGGUAUUAGUGACAGAAGUUUUAGAACCCAUUCUGAUCCCUUUGUGCAUCAGCAUUUCUUCAUUAAAGAGCUGUAAUAUUUUUGAACUGAAAAAAUUAAUUUUAAGCCAAGGAGAGAACAACAAAUGUUAUCUCAUGAUAGAAGAUUCAGAUUUACAAUGCAGGAUACAAAUUUAUUUUGGUUUCUUCUACUCAUAGAUGAUCAGCAGCAGCGAGGAGCCACUUGUUGCCUUAUCUAGCUCAGGCCAGAAUAAAGAAUCAAGAUAGACAGCUUUAAAAGAGGAGUGAAUUAUUAACUCCACAUAGCACUUCAUGGUAUAUGUCUCCCCAAAGCCAGAAGGCUGGCAUAGCUGAAGAUGAGUGUCUGUCUUGUGUCUGAGGGAGGAAACAGCAUGACACUCUGCACUGUCACUCAGCUUUCGGCUUCCAGUGCCAACUGUUAAGGAGGUUCCACCAUUACUGUAGGGGUUAUAAAGAAAUUGCAAAUGUCCAAUUAAAACCAGGCUUGUUGUGUUCGAACAAAUAGCCCUGUGAGGCUUACUAAACAGGUUAUAUUAAGUCUGAAAAGAAAGAAAAGUUUGCUAUUAAUUUACGGAGUGGUUACUCUUGUUAGGGACUCUGCAUGGAAGGCCAAGAUAGAACAAGCUGCAGCUCCUCCAAGAGUUUGCAAUUAAAAGCAGAAGGGAGAACAAAUUACUCCUUGCCAGGUACUAUACAUUGACUUAUACUAGAGGUAUGUAAAGAGGACUGAAGGGGGCCAUUUGCAAGGGGAAAGUCUAACUAUGGCUUAAAGGAUGAGGCAAUAUGGGAGAGGGUGUUCUGGGCAGAAGGAUCAUCCUAAAUAAAGUCCAAAUGCAUUAAGUGGCAGCAGUAGUGGCAGCCAUGCUGUGUGGCACAUAUUGGGUUCUUCCCAUGCACCAGCCACUAUUCUGUGUACUUAAUAUGUGUUAACUCAUUUAAUUACACAACUGUAUGUGAUAGCCAUCAUUAGGCUACUUUUACAGAUAAGGAAACUGAGGUACAGAGAUUUUAAAUAAUUUUCUCCAAGUCACACAGCUGAUAACUAGAGGAUCUUGGAGAUAAGCCCAGGCCAUCUGGGCCCAGAAAUCAUGCUCUAAACAAUGGACUACUUCCCAGUGGUAGGUAAAUACAUGGUGUGUUUGUGGAAGGUCUGUUUUCCAGUAUAGCUAAACCACAGGCCUUUUCAACCAUAGCACUACUGACAUGUGGGCCUGGACAAUUCUUGUUGCAGUGGGCUGUCCACUGCAUCGUAGGAUGUUUAGCAACAUCUUUGACUUCCAUCCCAAUGUUGAGCAUCAAAGACAUCUCCAGAAAUUGCCUACUGUUUUCUGAGGGCACAAUUACUCCCAGUUAAGUACCACUGGGCUCCUAUAUGAUGGGUAAGCCUGGAGAAGAGCAGAAGAAAACAAUUAGAACUCAGCUGUGAAUAUUCCCAAAUUCUCUUCUGAAGGCUAUGGGAAUGUACUCUAUAUAGAGAAAAAUGUCAACGGGUUACAACCGAGUAGCAGAAAAGAUAAUUUGCAGGAGCACUAGGGCAGGAAGUAUUGUCAGAGACUACACACUUUUGAGAUCUUAGCUUAGGAGCAGGAUUAUCUGCAGACUUUAUAGAAAUCUAUGCUCAAAAAUUCCAAAGCUACAGAUGACAAAGGGUAAUCUCUCAGAACAGUGCAAAAGUUCAGGCAACCACUUCACCUUAGUAGUCCCUGGGUUACAGUCAAUCCUGACCUGAAAGCUCAAAACUCCAAGUUUGAUUUCAGGUAAGGAAGAUUCCACAUCUAUGGAAAAACUGACCACCUAGUUUUCUGAAAAAGCUCUAUCAUCAGACCCCAGGUCACCUUGUAAAUGUGAACAUAAUUACAUAAACUUUAGAGAGGACAUCUCUACAGGAAUAUUUACUAGACAGUUGGUGACAAUGGGAAAAAAUAGAAGUAUUCUUCCUUCAACUCUCUACAUACACAUUUCAAACCAAGGGGAUAUGUAUUUAGAGUAGCUCUUAGGAAAGGAAAAGCCUAUGUACUUUCUAAAUUCUGUAACAAACAAGUUACUUUUAUCAAACAAUUUUUUAAAUUUGAAAAUGUAUGGUUCAAAUAGAUCUAAUUUGAACUGUACGUCUGUUGGUGAGUAGACAACACUGAACUAAUCAUGACAUUCAUCCAUUUUCAAAAAUUAGUAUGUUUUUUUUUCUUUUCUACUACUUACUUUGGCUCCUAAUGUUUUUUUCUUUAUCAACUCAUUGGGAAGGAUUACAAAGAAUUAUUUUCUUAGCCCUCUUUAUAAGACUGCUAUGAGCAUUUUGAAUCUAGUGCAGUUCCAAGCUUCUAGCUAACUUUAUAGUUUUGAAGAUAGAUUUUUUUUCUUAAAAAAAGUAACUUGAUUGCCUGAGAAAAGUUUUCUGAUCCCAGAGGAAGCAAGUGAGGCAUCUUUGACUGGAGAGCCAGUCUAGGGUCAGAGUUAUAGGCUUUGGAGUUGGACCUGGCAUAAGUCUGAAACAAACAUCUUCCCAUCUAAACUGCCUCAUCUGUCAACACAGGGAUACAGGACCCUCUGUAAGCAAGUUAUUUCAAGACUGGGUGAGAUGGCACAAGCUAAAGUCCUGGGAUGUGAUCUGAUACAUAGCUGAUACUCAGAAAUUGGCAUCCCUUCUCAACUAGCAUUUAGCAGAAUCAUCUAGGACUUUUAGGAGAUCAGGUCUCCUUUGAACCUCUUAGAAAUUUCUUCUGUGUUCAGAUAAGACAACAACCUGCUUUCAACAAGGGCACAUCCCUGCGACUCAGUGGAUGUCCCUGAACUAAAGGCAGAAACCUGCCUUCCUCUCCCAACAACACAUCUCUCUGGUCUCAGUGACAGCCAGAAGGACUGUGGAAACUGGAAUUGUAGGAUUCAAGCAUCUCAACAUCAGCAGUUCUCCUGGGAACACCACCAAGCUCUCAGCUUGCGUUGUGGUAAAGACAAUACCUAACAGAAAAUUGUCUUCAAUAGCUUUGUUUAAAAAAAGAUACUCAAAUAGAAUGCCUCAGUCUAGAUCAGUCAUUCUGCUAAGGAUUUGAAAUCUCAAACAGCUGGAGGUUUUUUCAAACUUGACAGUUUGUCUUUGAAGGAGAUUGCUAAGCUUUUAGAUUCUUCAUAAAUAGUAAAUAGAUUUAGUCAUAAAUAUCCUGUAAUAUGUGCUUUGUUCCUUUUAUUCAGAAGCAAGUUGUAAUUUCUGAUUAAACACGAUAAAUCAUUAUACAACAGCCAUUGUAUGGGGAUAACAGCCACCAGGAAAUGCAGUUUCUGCACUGAUGAAAGGCAUUUAAAGACAUGAAACCCCAAACAUCUGCCACACAUUGUUAGGAAAAUAAAGGACACUUACAAGUAUCUUGCAGCAUUUUAAGGACAGCCAGCAGCUGGCAAGAAUGUAAAUAGUUUUAAGAGGUGAUCAGUUCUCAUCUCACAAGUCAUUCUUUCCUUCCCUUCAUAAGUGAAAAGCUUUCUUUUUCAAGAUAGUUAACAGAAAGCAAGCAUCCAGAAAGUGGAAACAAUAAAAUCUCAUGAGGGCAGUGAAAAAUGAAGCCCUUUUUCCCCUUUCCCCCAGGGAACAGAUGCAUGAAAUUGUUCAGAAUAUUUGGAGACUGCCGAUAUAAGAUGUGGAAUUGGCACCGCCAGCAUCCUGAGACAUGCUUGGGAUUGGGCAUGAGUGAGAAGCUUUGGCAUAACAAUAGAGGGGACCUUGUUGGCAUGCUGCCCAGUCUUCUCCAAAGAUGCUUUUCUUUCCCAAUGCCAUUAAUUCUCCUUGGCCACUGGAGGCCUGGUUUUGGAAACUCAUACAGAAGAUACCAGUGGUUGCCUUUAUUUCGAGUCAUUCCUUCAGGCCUCAGUAAGAAUUGGAGGGUAGUUAAACUGGUGGUAGGAUGCUUUACCCAGAAAACUCCCUGUGGAUGGUCAGUUCACAGGGAUUCCUAACAGAAGAUAUUAUUCACUAGAGGUAUUUGGAAACUGAACACUAAGUUGAACAGAACACAGUAUUCUUUGUGCAUUGAAGGCCUGCUAAUCACUAAUGAUCUUCAAUGAGACAUUUUAGACACUAAGCUCUAUGACAGUGGGAACCGUUUUUUCCUCUUUGCCAUUGCAUCUUCGUCACCAAGCCUAUGGUAGA
Molecule: RNA transcript, 10554 nt
Organism: Cercocebus atys (sooty mangabey)
Lineage: Eukaryota; Metazoa; Chordata; Mammalia; Primates; Cercopithecidae
Gene: GRM7
Gene name: glutamate receptor, metabotropic 7
Exons: 13
Source: RefSeq, a predicted model, not a curated record